RNAcentral lists this ribosomal RNA (443 nucleotides) under uncultured bacterium. Its description in RNAcentral is "bacterial SSU rRNA". It matches the Rfam family "Bacterial small subunit ribosomal RNA", at positions 29 to 507 of the family's 1533-position model. The record is from RNAcentral.
AGCGAACGCUGGCGGCAUGCUUAACACAUGCAAGUCGCACGGUUGGGGGCGAACCCUGGCAGUGGCGCACGGGUGAGUAACACGUGACUUAUCUACCCUCGAGUGGGGAAUAACUUCGGGAAACCGAGGCUAAUACCGCAUAAUACCCACGGGUCAAAGGAGCAAUUCGCUUGAGGAGGAGGUCGCGGCCGAUUAGUUAGUUGGCGGGGUAAUGGCCCCACCCAAGACGGUGAUCGGUAUCCGGCCUGAGAGGGCGCACGGACACACUGGAACUGAAACACGGUCCAGACUCCUACGGGAGGCAGCAGUGGGGAAUUUUGCGCAAUGGGGGAAACCCUGACGCAGCAACGCCGCGUGGAGGAUGAAGUCUCUUGGGACGUAAACUCCUUUCGAUCGGGACGAUUAUGACGGUACCGGAAGAAGAAGCCCCGGCUAACUUCGUG